RNAcentral lists this ribosomal RNA (254 nucleotides) under uncultured bacterium. Its description in RNAcentral is "partial 16S ribosomal RNA". It matches the Rfam family "Bacterial small subunit ribosomal RNA", at positions 524 to 776 of the family's 1533-position model. The record is from RNAcentral.
UACGUAGGGGGCAAGCGUUGUCCGGAAUCAUUGGGCGUAAAGCGCGUGUAGGCGGUCCGGUAAGUCGGCUGUGAAAGUCCAGGGCUCAACCCUGGGAUGCCGGUCGAUACUGCCGGACUAGAGUUCGGAAGAGGCGAGUGGAAUUCCCGGUGUAGCGGUGAAAUGCGCAGAUAUCGGGGAGGAACACCAGUGGCGAAGGCGGCUACCUGGACCAGCACUGACACUGAGGCACGAAAGCGUGGGGAGCAAACAGG